UAGGGAAUCUUCCGCAAUGGACGCAAGUCUGACGGAGCAACGCCGCGUGAGUGAAGAAGGUUUUCGGAUCGUAAAGCUCUGUUGUUAAGGAAGAACGAGUGUGAGAAUGGAAAGUUCAUGCUGUGACGGUACUUAACCAGAAAGGGACGGCUAACUACGUGCCAGCAGCCGCGGUAAUACGUAGGUCCCGAGCGUUGUCCGGAUUUAUUGGGCGUAAAGCGAGCGCAGGCGGUUAGAAAAGUCUGAAGUGAAAGGCAGUGGCUCAACCAUUGUAGGCUUUGGAAACUGUUUAACUUGAGUGCAGAAGGGGAGAGGGGAAUUCCAUGUGUAGCGGUGAAAUGCGUAGAUAUAUGGAGGAACACCGGUGGCGAAAGCGGCUCUCUGGUCUGUAACUGACGCUGAGGCUCGAAAGCGUGGGGAGCGAACAGG
RNAcentral lists this ribosomal RNA (429 nucleotides) under Bacteroidota bacterium. RNAcentral's name for it is "Bacteroidetes bacterium partial 16S ribosomal RNA". It matches the Rfam family "Bacterial small subunit ribosomal RNA", at positions 355 to 776 of the family's 1533-position model. Lineage: Bacteria; Pseudomonadati; Bacteroidota. The record is from RNAcentral.